Molecule: ribosomal RNA, 655 nt
Filed under: uncultured bacterium
Lineage: Bacteria
Description: bacterial SSU rRNA
Rfam family: Bacterial small subunit ribosomal RNA
Source: RNAcentral
CAUGCAAGUCGAACGAGAAACUUGGUUCGCCAAGUGGACAGUGGCAGACGGUUGAGUAACGCGUGGGAAUCUACCUAGAGGUUCGGAAUAACUAUUGGAAACGAUAGCUAAUACCGGAUAAGCCCUUCGGGGGAAAGAUUUAUUGCCUUUAGAUGAGCCCGCGUCGGAUUAGCUAGUUGGUAAGGUAACGGCUUACCAAAGCUACGAUCCGUAGCUGAUCUGAGAGGAUGAUCAGCCAGAUUGGGACUGAGACACGGCCCAGACUCCUACGGGAGGCAGCAGUAGGGAAUAUUGCGCAAUGGGGGAAACCCUGACGCAGCGAUGCCGCGUGAGUGAAGAAGGCCUUAGGGUUGUAAAACUCUUUCAGUGGUGAAGAUAAUGACGGUAACCACAGAAGAAGCUCCGGCUAACUCCGUGCCAGCAGCCGCGGUAAUACGGAGGGGGCUAACGUUGUUCGGAAUUACUGGGCGUAAAGCGCGCGUAGGCGGAUUAGACAGUUGAGGGUGAAAUCCCGGAGCUUAACUUCGGAACUGCCCCCAAUACUACUAAUCUAGAGUUCGGAAGAGGUGAGUGGAAUUCCUAGUGUAGAGGUGAAAUUCGUAGAUAUUAGGAAGAACAUCAGAGGCGAAGGCGGCUCACUGGUCCGAUACUGACG